UACGUAGGUGGCGAGCGUUGUCCGGAUUUACUGGGCGUAAAGAGCGCGCAGGCGGUCGUGCAAGUCGCGUGUGAAAGCCCCCGGCUCAACUGGGGAGGGUCACGCGAUACUGCUCGACUUGAAGGCAGGAGAGGGAAGUGGAAUUCCCGGUGUAGUGGUGAAAUGCGUAGAUAUCGGGAAGAACACCAGUGGCGAAAGCGCUCUACUGGGCCAUGACUGACACUGAGGGACGAAAGCUAGGGGAGCGAAAGGG
RNAcentral lists this ribosomal RNA (253 nucleotides) under uncultured bacterium. RNAcentral describes it as "partial 16S ribosomal RNA". It matches the Rfam family "Bacterial small subunit ribosomal RNA", at positions 524 to 776 of the family's 1533-position model. The record is from RNAcentral.